Molecule: ribosomal RNA, 460 nt
Filed under: uncultured bacterium
Lineage: Bacteria
Description: partial 16S ribosomal RNA
Rfam family: Bacterial small subunit ribosomal RNA
Source: RNAcentral
CCUACGGGUGGCAGCAGUGAGGAAUAUUGGUCAAUGGACGAGAGUCUGAACCAGCCAAGUAGCGUGAAGGAUGACUGCCCUAUGGGUUGUAAACUUCUUUUAUAUGGGAAUAAAAUGUUCCACGUGUGGGAUUUUGUAUGUACCAUAUGAAUAAGGAUCGGCUAACUCCGUGCCAGCAGCCGCGGUAAUACGGAGGAUCCGAGCGUUAUCCGGAUUUAUUGGGUUUAAAGGGAGCGUAGGGUGAUUGUUAAGUCAGUUGUGAAAGUUUGCGGCUCAACCGUAAAAUUGCAGUUGAAACUGGCAGUCUUGAGUACAGUAGAGGUGGGCGGAAUUCGUGGUGUAGCGGUGAAAUUCUUAGAUAUCACGAAUAACUCCGAUUGCGAAGGCAGUUCACUGGACUGCAACUGACACUGAGGCUCGAAAGUGUGGGUAUCAAACAGGAUUAGAUACCCGUGUAGUC